UACGUAGGGGGCAAGCGUUGUCCGGAAUCAUUGGGCGUAAAGCGCGUGUAGGCGGUUCGGUAAGUCUGCUGUGAAAGUCCAGGGCUCAACCCUGGGAUGCCGGUGGAUACUGUCGGACUAGAGUACGGAAGAGGCGAGUGGAAUUCCCGGUGUAGCGGUGAAAUGCGCAGAUAUCGAGAGGAACACCAAUUGCGAAGGCAGCUCGCUGGGACGUUACUGACGCUGAGACGCGAAAGCUAGGGGAGCAAACAGG
This 253-nucleotide ribosomal RNA is filed under the name uncultured bacterium. RNAcentral's name for it is "partial 16S ribosomal RNA". It matches the Rfam family "Bacterial small subunit ribosomal RNA", at positions 524 to 776 of the family's 1533-position model. The record is from RNAcentral.